CCUACGUGAGGCAGCAGUGAGGAAUAUUGGUCAAUGGCCGGGAGUCUGAACCAGCCAAGUAGCGUGAAGGAUGACUGCCCUACGGGUUGUAAACCUCUUUUAUCAAGGAAUAAAACGCAGCACGGGACCCUUUUUGCAAGUACCUUAUGAAUAAGGAUCGGCUAACUCCGUGCCAGCAGCCGCGGUAAUACGGAGGAUGCGAGCGUUAUCCGGAUUUAUUGGGUUUAAAGGGUGCGGAGGUGGGGUGUCAAGUCCAUUGGGAAAGUUGGGGGGUUAACCGUAACAGUGCAAUUGAGACUGUCAGCCUUGAGUACAGUUGAGGGAGGCGGAAUUCGUGGUGUAGCGGUGAAAUGCUUAGAUAUCACGCAGAACCCCGAUUGCGAAGGCAGCUUAC
Molecule: ribosomal RNA, 394 nt
Filed under: uncultured bacterium
Lineage: Bacteria
Description: partial 16S ribosomal RNA
Rfam family: Bacterial small subunit ribosomal RNA
Source: RNAcentral